GCACUCGUAGCCAAGCGGCUGAAGGCACUGGUCUGCAAAACCAGUGAGCGCAAGCUCCACGUCAGUUCGAAUCUGACCGAGUGCUCCA
This 88-nucleotide transfer RNA is filed under the name Povalibacter uvarum. RNAcentral's name for it is "tRNA-Cys". It matches the Rfam family "tRNA". Rfam says of the family: Transfer RNA (tRNA) molecules are approximately 80 nucleotides in length. Their secondary structure includes four short double-helical elements and three loops (D, anti-codon, and T loops). Lineage: Bacteria; Pseudomonadati; Pseudomonadota; Gammaproteobacteria; Steroidobacterales; Steroidobacteraceae. The record is from RNAcentral.